UACGGAGGGGGUUAGCGUUGUUCGGAAUUACUGGGCGUAAAGCGCGCGUAGGCGGAUUAGAAAGUUGGGGGGUGAAAUCCCGGGGCUCAACCCCGGAACUGCCUCCAAAACUACUAGUCUAGAGUUCGAGAGAGGUGAGUGGAAUUCCGAGUGUAGAGGUGAAAUUCGUAGAUAUUCGGAGGAACACCAGUGGCGAAGGCGGCUCACUGGCUCGAUACUGACGCUGAGGUGCGAAAGUGUGGGGAGCAAACAGG
Molecule: ribosomal RNA, 254 nt
Filed under: uncultured bacterium
Lineage: Bacteria
Description: partial 16S ribosomal RNA
Rfam family: Bacterial small subunit ribosomal RNA
Source: RNAcentral